Molecule: ribosomal RNA, 440 nt
Filed under: uncultured bacterium
Lineage: Bacteria
Description: bacterial SSU rRNA
Rfam family: Bacterial small subunit ribosomal RNA
Source: RNAcentral
AACGCGAAGAACCUUACCUGGGCUCGAAAUGCAGGAGACCGGGGUAGAAAUAUCCUUUCCCCGCAAGGGGCUGCUGUAUAGGUGCUGCAUGGCUGUCGUCAGCUCGUGUCGUGAGAUGUUGGGUUAAGUCCCGCAACGAGCGCAACCCUCAUCCCUAGUUGCUACCAUUUAGUUGAGCACUCUGGCGAAACCGCCUCGGAUAACGGGGAGGAAGGUGGGGAUGACGUCAAGUCCUCAUGGCCUUUAUGUCCAGGGCUACACACGUGCUACAAUGGCCGGUACAAACCGCUGCAACCCCGCGAGGGUGAGCUAAUCGGAAAAAGCCGGCCUCAGUUCGGAUUGGAGUCUGCAACUCGACUCCAUGAAGCUGGAAUCGCUAGUAAUCGUGGAUCAGCAUGCCACGGUGAAUACGUUCCCGGGCUUGACUACACCGUAGAGAC